RNAcentral lists this transfer RNA (73 nucleotides) under Lecanora markjohnstonii. Its description in RNAcentral is "tRNA-Arg". It matches the Rfam family "tRNA". Rfam says of the family: Transfer RNA (tRNA) molecules are approximately 80 nucleotides in length. Their secondary structure includes four short double-helical elements and three loops (D, anti-codon, and T loops). Lineage: Eukaryota; Fungi; Ascomycota; Lecanoromycetes; Lecanorales; Lecanoraceae. The record is from RNAcentral.
AACGUGUUAGCUUAAUUGGUUAAGCAUUGUGCUUCGGACACAGUAGUUACAAGUUCGAGUCCUGUACACGUUG